UCUUCCACAAUGGACGCAAGUCUGAUGGAGCAACGCCGCGUGAGUGAAGGAGGCGUUCGGGUCGUAAAACUCUGUUGUUGGAGAAGAAUGGUCGGCAGAGUAACUGUUGUCGGCGUGACGGUAUCCAACUAGAAAGCCACGGCUAACUACGUGCCAGCAGCCGCGGUAAUACGUAGGUGGCAACCGUUAUCCGGAUUUAUUGGGCGUAAAGCGAGCGCAGGCGGUUUUUUUAAGUCGGAUGUGAAAGCCCUCGGCUUAACCGAGGAAGCGCAUCGGAAACUGGGAAACUUGAGUGCAGAAGAGGACAGUGGAACUCCAUGUGUAGCGGUGAAAUGCGUAGAUAUAUGGAAGAACACCAGUGGCGAAGGCGGCUGUCUGGUCUGUAACUGACGCUGAGGCUCGAAAGCAUGGGUAGCGAACAGG
Molecule: ribosomal RNA, 423 nt
Filed under: uncultured bacterium
Lineage: Bacteria
Description: bacterial SSU rRNA
Rfam family: Bacterial small subunit ribosomal RNA
Source: RNAcentral